AACGCGAAGAACCUUACCAGGUCUUGACAUCCUCUGACACUCCUAGAGAUAGGACUUUCCCCUUCGGGGGACAGAGUGACAGGUGCUGCAUGGCUGUCGUCAGCUCGUGUCGUGAGAUGUUGGGUUAAGUCCCGCAACGAGCGCAACCCUUGUCCUAUGUUGCCAGCGGGUUAUGCCGGGGACUCAUGGGAGACUGCCGGGGUCAACUCGGAGGAAGGUGGGGACGACGUCAAAUCAUCAUGCCCCUUAUGUCCUGGGCUACACACGUGCUACAUUGGCCGGUACAAAGGGCUGCAAACCCGCGAGGGGGAGCGAAUCCCAAAAAACCGGUCCCGGUUCGGAUUGGAGGCUGAAACUUGCCUCCAUGAAGGCGGAGUUGCUAGUAAUCGCGAAUCAGCAACGUCGCGGUGAAUACGUUCCCGGGUCUUGUACACACCG
Molecule: ribosomal RNA, 438 nt
Filed under: uncultured bacterium
Lineage: Bacteria
Description: bacterial SSU rRNA
Rfam family: Bacterial small subunit ribosomal RNA
Source: RNAcentral